UGUCAAGCAGCCGCGGUAAUACAGAGGGUGCAAGCGUUAAUCGGAUUUACUGGGCGUAAAGCGCGCGUAGGCGGCUAAUUAAGUCAAAUGUGAAAUCCCCGAGCUUAACUUGGGAAUUGCAUUCGAUACUGGUUAGCUAGAGUGUGGGAGAGGAUGGUAGAAUUCCAGGUGUAGCGGUGAAAUGCGUAGAGAUCUGGAGGAAUACCGAUGGCGAAGGCAGCCAUCUGGCCUAACACUGACGCUGAGGUGCGAAAGCAUGGGGAGCAAACAGGAUUAGAUACCCUGGUAGUCCAUGCCGUAAACGAUGUCUACUAGCCGUUGGGGCCUUUGAGGCUUUAGUGGCGCAGCUAACGCGAUAAGUAGACCGCCUGGGGAGUACGGUCGCAAGACUAAAACUCAAAUGAAUUGACGGGGGCCCGCACAAGCGGUGGAGCAUGUGGUUUAAUUCGAUGCAACGCGAAGAACCUUACCUGGCCUUGACAUAGUAAGAACUUUCCAGAGAUGGAUUGGUGCCUUCGGGAACUUACAUACAGGUGCUGCAUGGCGGUCGUCAGCUCGUGUCGUGAGAUGUUGGGUUAAGUCCCGCAACGAGCGCAACCCUUUUCCUUAUUUGCCAGCGAGUAAUGUCGGGAACUUCAAGGAUACUACCAGUGACAAACUGGAGGAAGGCGGGGACGACGUCAAGUCAUCAUGGCCCUUACGGCCAGGGCUACACACGUGCUACAAUGGUCGGUACAAAGGGUUGCUACCUAGCGAUAGGAUGCUAAUCUCAAAAAGCCGAUCGUAGUCCGGAUUGGAGUCUGCAACUCGACUCCAUGAAGUCGGAAUCGCUAGUAAUCGCGGAUCAGAAUGCCGCGGUGAAUACGUUCCCGGGCCUUGUACACACCGCCCGUCACACCAUGGGAGUUUGUUGCACCAGAAGUAGCUAGCCUAACUGCAAAGAG
Molecule: ribosomal RNA, 944 nt
Filed under: uncultured Acinetobacter sp.
Lineage: Bacteria; Pseudomonadati; Pseudomonadota; Gammaproteobacteria; Moraxellales; Moraxellaceae
Description: bacterial SSU rRNA
Rfam family: Bacterial small subunit ribosomal RNA
Source: RNAcentral